This 306-nucleotide ribosomal RNA is filed under the name Triticum aestivum (bread wheat). RNAcentral's name for it is "partial small subunit ribosomal RNA". The record is from RNAcentral. Lineage: Eukaryota; Viridiplantae; Streptophyta; Magnoliopsida; Poales; Poaceae.
AUGUACUCGUCGCAGUCGCUAAGCCGCGUCAACAACAUCCGCACCUCCCUCAUCAAUGUGCGAAAGGGCAACCAGACCAUCGCUGCCUACUUCUCCACCAUGCGCGGCCUUGCGGAUGAGCUCGCCGCUGCCGGCAAACCGAUCCAGGAUGACGAACUCAUCUCGUAUAUCCUUCAUGGGUUGGAUAUGGAGUACCAGCCCCUCGUCUCGGCCUUCGACGCCCGUGUCAUCCCUGCCUCCCUCGACGAAAUCUUCUCCAUGCUAAGCAACUUCGAACAGCGCAUGGCGCAGUUCCAUGGAUCGGGC